AUUGAACGCUGGCGGCACGCCUAACACAUGCAAGUCGAGCGGCAGCGCGAUUAGUAGCAAUACUAAUUGGCGGCGAGCGGCGGACGGGUGAGUAACACGUAGGAACCUGCCCAGAAGUGGGGGAUAACUAAUGGAAACGUUAGCUAACACCGCAUACAUUCGGGAGAAGAAAGCUGCAGCAAUGUGGCGCUUUUGGAGGGGCCUGCGUCCGAUUAGCUAGUUGGUAAGGUAAUGGCUUACCAAGGCGAUGAUCGGUAACUGGUCUGAGAGGACGACCGGUCACACUGGGACUGAGACACGGCCCAGACUCCUACGGGAGGCAGCAGAGGGGAAUUUUGGACAAUGGGCGAAAGCCUGAUCCAGCAAUGCCGCGUGCAGGAUGAAGGCCUUCGGGUUGUAAACUGCUUUUGUACGGAACGAAAAGCCCCGGGUUAAUACCCUGGGGUCAUGACGGUACCGUAAGAAUAAGCACCGGCUAACUACGUGCCAGCCGCCGCCGUAA
RNAcentral lists this ribosomal RNA (502 nucleotides) under uncultured bacterium. RNAcentral's name for it is "partial 16S ribosomal RNA". It matches the Rfam family "Bacterial small subunit ribosomal RNA", at positions 30 to 523 of the family's 1533-position model. The record is from RNAcentral.